Molecule: long non-coding RNA, 1011 nt
Filed under: Cervus hanglu yarkandensis (Yarkand deer)
Lineage: Eukaryota; Metazoa; Chordata; Mammalia; Artiodactyla; Cervidae
Description: lncRNA (ENSCHYG00000001631.1)
Source: RNAcentral
CAGGUGGCUCAGUGGUAAAGAAUCUGCCUGCCAACACAGGAGGCACAGGUUCAAUCCCUGAUCUGGGAUGAUCACACAUGCCAUGGUGUAAGCCUGUGCACCACUCCACAACUACUUAGGCUGUGCUCUAGAGCCCAGGAGCUGCAACUUCUGAGCCCUCAGGCCGCAACUACUAAAGCCCGAGAGCCCUAGAGCCUGUGCUCUGUAAUAAGAGAAGUCACCUGAACGAGAAGCCCAAGCACUGCAACUAGAGACUAGCCUUCACUUCCCACAACUAGAGAAGUCUUCACAGCACUGAAGACCCAGCACAACCAAUAAAUAAAUGAAUAUUUUUUAAAAAUAGAAAUGAAAGGAUUUAAAAAAGCUCAUCCUUAAUAGUAUGGAGUGGGGUGGGGUUAGUCACACACACACACACACACACACACACACACACAGACACACACACACAGUGUGAAUGUGGACAGUGCUCUAACUCUGUGCAGAAGGGAGUGGAGGAAGAGGCACUCCUAUCCAGCCUGUCACCUGUAUGUUCUUAGGAUGACAUCUGUGGAGGCGCCCAGUACGCUGUGAGGGCCAGCACAGUGUGGAAAGAGACUGUGGCAGGAUCCUCUGCAAGAGGACCGAGGUAUCCUGUAUUGACUGCUGUCACUCAGAUCCCACCACAUCGCUGGCUGGGGGCUUGGGGUCGUUAGAUGCACAGGAUGAUAAUACCAGAAAGAUUCCGGAACGAACUCUACUCGAACUUUGGACAAUUAUAAUGAUAUAUUAUUAAAGGCCUUACAUAAACUCGAUGACUGAAUGGGACGAUCGGGAGAUGCAAGAAACCUAAGUGAACGGAAAGGGAGCUCGUCUAGCCUGAGGCUUUCCUGCCUCCGAGAGACUGAGGAUGUCAUCUGGAACUGGGUUCCUUUGCCAACAGAACCUACAUUUGUGAAUCUGCACAGAAGGGCUCAGAAGACUGGAGCUGGUAAACUUUUCAGGGUGGUGAUUCCAGCAGGAAGGCAAUGCUAG